RNAcentral lists this ribosomal RNA (576 nucleotides) under Aspergillus recurvatus. RNAcentral's name for it is "eukaryotic LSU rRNA". It matches the Rfam family "Eukaryotic large subunit ribosomal RNA", at positions 58 to 648 of the family's 3401-position model. Lineage: Eukaryota; Fungi; Ascomycota; Eurotiomycetes; Eurotiales; Aspergillaceae. The record is from RNAcentral.
AAAGAAACCAACCGGGAUUGCCUCAGUAACGGCGAGUGAAGCGGCAAGAGCUCAAAUUUGAAAGCUGGCCCCUUCGGGGUCCGCGUUGUAAUUUGCAGAGGAUGCUUCGGGUGCGGCCCCUGUCUAAGUGCCCUGGAACGGGCCGUCAGAGAGGGUGAGAAUCCCGUCUUGGGCAGGGUGCCCGUGCCCGUGUGAAGCUCCUUCGACGAGUCGAGUUGUUUGGGAAUGCAGCUCUAAAUGGGUGGUAAAUUUCAUCUAAAGCUAAAUACCGGCCGGAGACCGAUAGCGCACAAGUAGAGUGAUCGAAAGAUGAAAAGCACUUUGAAAAGAGAGUUAAACAGCACGUGAAAUUGUUGAAAGGGAAGCGCUUGCGACCAGACUCGGCCUCGGGGUUCAGCCAGCACUCGUGCUGGUGUACUUCCCCGGGGGCGGGCCAGCGUCGGUUUGGGCGGCCGGUCAAAGGCCCCAGGAAUGUAUCGCCCUCCGGGGUUGUCUUAUAGCCUGGGGUGCAAUGCGGCCAGCCCGGACCGAGGAACGCGCUUCGGCACGGACGCUGGCGUAAUGGUCGCAAACGAC